ACCUUUUGCUUGUUUUGUUUUGCUUAUGUUUUUUCAAGACAGGAAAGCUCUCUCUGUAGAUCAGGCUGGCCUCAAACUCAGAAACCUGCCUGCCUCAAACUCCCGAAUGCUGGGAUUAAAGUUAUGAUCCACCGCCCAACUAAAACCUUUUCAUCUCCAAUAGUUGCUGGCCACUCAGGUUGGACAGAGGGUGUUGCUCUCUCUUGCUUUUCAAUGUCAGCUAUAUGAACAAACAAGAAAGCCAUCACCAGACACCCAUGCCUUCAUCUUGGACUUCCUGGCCACCAGGACCACGAGAAACCAUGCUGUUCUUUAAACUAGUCAAUUCAAGUAUCCUCUUGUAUAGGACAAGAGGACUAAGCCAGCUGACUGAAAACAAGGUCAUUUUGAAAUAGAAGAGAUGAUUACAGUUAAGAGAUUGCAUAAAUCUCAGAAGGACUUUGGACUUUAAGACAUUGAGACUGUGAUAAGGACUAUGGAGACUUUUGAAGUUCGACUAAACACAUUUUGCAUUAUGAUAUUGUUACACGCUUAAGGGAGCCAGGGAGUGGAAUGUGGUAGUUUGAAUGUAAUUGGCCCUAAUCUCUCAGGAAGUGGCACUAUAGGAAGUGUGUCACUGUGAGGGCAGGCUUUAACGUUUUCUAUGUUCAGGAUACCACCCAGUGUCUCAGUGGACUUCUGGUUGCCUUCAAGAUGUGGUACUCCCAGCUAUUCCCCCAGCACCGCAUUUGUCUGCACGCAAAAACCCUAAGUAAGAUAGGAGGCUAGAGAAAUGGCACAAUGGGAAUUACUCUUCUAGAGGGCAGAUUCAGUUUCCAGCACCCAUAGCUGGUGACUUAUAAGUGCCCGUAACUCAAGCUCCAGGGGAUUUCAUGCCCUUUUCUGUCUUCCAUACACCAGGCACAAAUACCGUGCACAUACAUCCAAGCAAGCUGUCACACACACACACACACACACACACACACACACACACACACACACACACACACACAUAUAUUUUAAAAAAAAAACUCCACUAUGAUAAUAAAAUAGCUCAUCCCUACUAAGUUCUACUGUUUUAUUGUGUGUGGGUGUUUUGUUCCCAUGUAUGGCUGUGCACCACAGGCAUUCAGUGCCCAGGAGGCCAGAAGAUGAUGAUGGAUUCCCUAGAAUUGGAGUUACGAAUAAUUGCAAAGCAUCAUAUGGGUGACGAGAGUCAAACCUGGAUGUUCUGCCUGAAAAAGUGCAUCACCAUCUCUCCUGGUAUAUGAGUUCUUGUCCAACGGGCCGGAUGAGGCAAAAGCCCACGGGGACAGUUGCACCCAGCAAGGACCAGUGGACUUCGAGACAGCAUAGAAUAUUGCUGGGACCUCACAGCCUGCAUGCACUCUUCUCUCUCAUAAUAUUGAUGAUUCUCUUGAUAGUUUUAGUGUCAUUUUGUCAACCAUGCAUGGGGCAGAUGUGAUCAUUCCUGGAAACCCUAAUUUUUUCUGGAACAUUUUCCCCUAAAAUUCUUUGGGAGCUGAUGCUUCUCAGGUUUCUUGUCUGGAAAUGCCAGCUGUUACUCCAGACCCCAGGAGCUGUUCUGAUUUAGUGCUGACAGGAUCAGAGGCAAAUCACCCCUAUUUCUGUAAAUAUGUUUUGAAUGGGAUUGCUGUUCUUGAAAAUGUGUGCCUGUCAGUCACCUUUAGUUUUGUAUAGACAGGAUGUAACUGGCUCAGUAUUUGAGCUAGCAAAAUGAUGUGUUGUUUUGGUUUAAAGAUGUUUUGAUGUAAAAGUUGGGGAAAAAUAUAUUUGACAUAUUUCGUUUUCCUGGAGGUUAAUGUUGGAGGAUGGGAAAAACUUGUUUGUUAAUAUACAAAAAAAUGCUUGGUUUUUUUUUUACAUGCUUGUUUUUAAAAUAUAAGUAAAGGCCAGGCGUUGGUGGCUCAUGCCUUUA
This is a non-coding RNA of Cricetulus griseus (Chinese hamster), 1918 nucleotides long. Lineage: Eukaryota; Metazoa; Chordata; Mammalia; Rodentia; Cricetidae. The record is from RefSeq and is a predicted model, not a curated record.